This 450-nucleotide ribosomal RNA is filed under the name uncultured bacterium. RNAcentral's name for it is "partial 16S ribosomal RNA". It matches the Rfam family "Bacterial small subunit ribosomal RNA", at positions 354 to 796 of the family's 1533-position model. The record is from RNAcentral.
GUGGGGAAUAUUCCGCAAUGGACGAAAGUCUGACGGAGCAACGCCGCGUGAGUGAUGAAGGUUUUCGGACUGUAAAGCUCUGUUGUUUAGGACGAAAGUGCCUGUUGCGAAUAGUUACAGGUAUUGACGGUACUGAACGAGGAAGCCACGGCUAACUACGUGCCAGCAGCCGCGGUAAUACGUAGGUGGCAAGCGUUGUCCGGAAUUAUUGGGCGUAAAGAGCAUGUAGGCGGGAAUCUAAGUCUGUUGUGAAAAUGCGGGGCUCAACCCCGUAUUGCGAUGGAAACUGGGUUUCUUGAGUGCAGGAGAGGAAAGGGGAAUUCCCAGUGUAGCGGUGAAAUGCGUAGAUAUUGGGAGGAACACCAGUGGCGAAGGCGCCUUUCUGGACUGUGUCUGACGCUGAGAUGCGAAAGCCAGGGUAGCGAACGGGAUUAGAUACCCCGGUAGUCC